RNAcentral lists this ribosomal RNA (467 nucleotides) under uncultured bacterium. Its description in RNAcentral is "partial 16S ribosomal RNA". It matches the Rfam family "Bacterial small subunit ribosomal RNA", at positions 28 to 507 of the family's 1533-position model. The record is from RNAcentral.
GACGAACGCUGGCGGCGUGCUUAACACAUGCAAGUCGAACGGAAAGGCCUCUUUCGGGGGGUACUCGAGUGGCGAACGGGUGAGUAACACGUGAGUAACCUGCCCUUGACUUUGGGAUAACUUCAGGAAACUGGGGCUAAUACCGGAUAGGAGCUCCUGCUGCAUGGUGGGGGUUGGAAAGUUUCGGCGGUUGGGGUUGGACUCGCGGCUUAUCAGCUUGUUGGUGGGGUAGUGGCUUACCAAGGCUUUGACGGGUAGCCGGCCUGAGAGGGUGACCGGCCACAUUGGGACUGAGAUACGGCCCAGACUCCUACGGGAGGCAGCAGUGGGGAAUAUUGCACAAUGGGUGGAAGCCUGAUGCAGCAACGCCGUGUGCGGGAUGACGGCCUUCGGGUUGUAAACCGCUUUCGCUCAUGACGAAGCUUUGUGUGACGGUAGUGGGUAAAGAAGCACCGGCUAACUACGUG